GACGAACGCUGGCGGCGUGCUUAACACAUGCAAGUCGAACGGAAAGGCCCUGCUAUUGUGGGGUGCUCGAGUGGCGAACGGGUGAGUAACACGUGAGUAACCUGCCCUUGACUUUGGGAUAACUUCAGGAAACUGGGGCUAAUACCGGAUAGGAGCACCUGCUGCAUGGUGGGGGUUGGAAAGUUUCGGCGGUUGGGGAUGGACUCGCGGCUUAUCAGCUUGUUGGUGGGGUAGUGGCUUACCAAGGCUUUGACGGGUAGCCGGCCUGAGAGGGUGACCGGCCACAUUGGGACUGAGAUACGGCCCAGACUCCUACGGGAGGCAGCAGUGGGGAAUAUUGCACAAUGGGCGGAAGCCUGAUGCAGCAACGCCGCGUGCGGGAUGACGGCCUUCGGGUUGUAAACCGCUUUCGCCUGUGACGAAGCGUGAGUGACGGUAAUGGGUAAAGAAGCACCGGCUAACUACGUG
This 468-nucleotide ribosomal RNA is filed under the name uncultured bacterium. Its description in RNAcentral is "partial 16S ribosomal RNA". It matches the Rfam family "Bacterial small subunit ribosomal RNA", at positions 28 to 507 of the family's 1533-position model. The record is from RNAcentral.